Molecule: ribosomal RNA, 662 nt
Filed under: Pseudomonas sp. B27
Lineage: Bacteria; Pseudomonadati; Pseudomonadota; Gammaproteobacteria; Pseudomonadales; Pseudomonadaceae
Also listed under: 1 other name
Description: bacterial SSU rRNA
Rfam family: Bacterial small subunit ribosomal RNA
Source: RNAcentral
UCUUGAGAGCGGCGGACGGGUGAGUAAUGCCUAGGAAUCUGCCUGGUAGUGGGGGAUAACGUUCGGAAACGAACGCUAAUACCGCAUACGUCCUACGGGAGAAAGCAGGGGACCUUCGGGCCUUGCGCUAUCAGAUGAGCCUAGGUCGGAUUAGCUAGUUGGUGAGGUAAUGGCUCACCAAGGCGACGAUCCGUAACUGGUCUGAGAGGAUGAUCAGUCACACUGGAACUGAGACACGGUCCAGACUCCUACGGGAGGCAGCAGUGGGGAAUAUUGGACAAUGGGCGAAAGCCUGAUCCAGCCAUGCCGCGUGUGUGAAGAAGGUCUUCGGAUUGUAAAGCACUUUAAGUUGGGAGGAAGGGCAGUUACCUAAUACGUGAUUGUUUUGACGUUACCGACAGAAUAAGCGCCGGCUAACUCUGUGCCAGCAGCCGCGGUAAUACAGAGGGUGCAAGCGUUAAUCGGAAUUACUGGGCGUAAAGCGCGCGUAGGUGGUUUGUUAAGUUGGAUGUGAAAUCCCCGGGCUCAACCUGGGAACUGCAUUCAAAACUGACUGACUAGAGUAUGGUAGAGGGUGGUGGAAUUUCCUGUGUAGCGGUGAAAUGCGUAGAUAUAGGAAGGAACACCAGUGGCGAAGGCGACCACCUGGACUAAUACUGACA